AGCAAUUAAAACAGUAACAAACAUAAAGGAAGUAAUAAAUAGUAAUACAAUGAUAAUAGGUGACUUUAACACCACACUUAGACUGAUGGGCAGAUCGUCCAAACAGAAAAUCAACAGGG
Lynx canadensis (Canada lynx) is the source of this 119-nucleotide long non-coding RNA. RefSeq lists it as uncharacterized. The transcript is spliced from 3 exons. The record is from RefSeq and is a predicted model, not a curated record. NCBI's taxonomy places the organism in Eukaryota, Metazoa, Chordata, Mammalia, Carnivora, Felidae.